UAAUACGGAGGGUGCAAGCGUUAUCCGGAAUCACUGGGUUUAAAGGGUGCGUAGGCGGCAUUAUAAGUCAGAGGUGAAAGCCCGUCGCUUAACGAUGGAAUUGCCUUUGAUACUGUAGUGCUUGAAUCAAGUUGAGGCUGGCGGAAUGUGGCAUGUAGCGGUGAAAUGCAUAGAUAUGCCAUAGAACACCAAUUGCGAAGGCAGCUGGCUGGACUUGAAUUGACGCUGGGGCACGAAAGCGUGGGGAGCGAACAGGAUUAGAUACCCUGGUAGUCCACGCCCUAAACGAUGUUUACUCGUUCCAGGCACUGGUUGUCUGGGACCAAGCGAAAGCGUUAAGUAAACCACCUGGGGAGUACGUCGGCAACGAUG
RNAcentral lists this ribosomal RNA (372 nucleotides) under uncultured bacterium. Its description in RNAcentral is "bacterial SSU rRNA". It matches the Rfam family "Bacterial small subunit ribosomal RNA", at positions 521 to 896 of the family's 1533-position model. The record is from RNAcentral.